Molecule: ribosomal RNA, 253 nt
Filed under: uncultured bacterium
Lineage: Bacteria
Description: partial 16S ribosomal RNA
Rfam family: Bacterial small subunit ribosomal RNA
Source: RNAcentral
CACGUAGGGGGCAAGCGUUGUCCGGAAUCAUUGGGCGUAAAGAGCGUGUAGGCGGCUCGAUAAGUCUGCUGUGAAAGUCCAGGGCUCAACCCUGGAAGGCCGGUGGAAACUGUCGGGCUAGAGUCCGGAAGAGGCGAGUGGAAUUCCCGGUGUAGCGGUGAAAUGCGCAGAUAUCGGGAGGAACACCAAUGGCGAAGGCAGCUCGCUGGGACGGUACUGACGCUCAGACGCGAAAGCGUGGGGAGCAAACGGG